Non-coding RNA from Pelobates cultripes (western spadefoot toad), 560 nucleotides. The record is from the annotation of a GenBank genome assembly. NCBI's taxonomy places the organism in Eukaryota, Metazoa, Chordata, Amphibia, Anura, Pelobatidae.
AUACAGUAUUAUAAAACAUAUCACAGGGACCCCAAAACAUGCAAUAACCCCAUAAAAAAAUAUCCUUGGAACCGGGGGAUCUGGGUGAACCACAUAUCCAAAAUUCACGCAGAUCCGUUCAGUAGUUUAGAAGAUACGGUUUAAUGCAGAUUCCGCAGAACAUAUACAGGCUAUAUGAAAAAUAAUUACUGUUAAAUGUGUCCCCUGUUCUGUAGUUUAAAACUACUGCAUGAUGUCUUUGUGCACCAAAUACCAGCGGGAUGGAAAAAGUCAAAAAGUCAAAACAGUGUCUGUAAGUUAAAAUUGCCGCCAUCCAUUGUUCUCACCAUGUGCUUCAUCCAUUGUUCUCACCAUGUGCCUCUGAUACAUGAAAUGGUGGCCACCCAGUAACUCCACAGUAUGUCCCCAGAUGGUUCUUAAAGGGCCAGCAGCAGCACAACACAAAUCCAUUAUGCCCAAAUCAUGUAUUUAAAGGGCAAUACAUCCCAGGGGGUCAUAGUCACAUGGCAGGAGGCUGGCAAUCAGUCUUCUCCAAUGCCCAGUGGCGAGGUCGGUUUCAC